GCGCCCAGACGCCUUGGCGUGAGCCAGACACAGUUGCUGCACGUGCUGAAAUGGUUGCAUGUGCUGUGUAGUACUCCUGGGUUCAGCUCCUGCUGCUGCUGCAACCAAUCACCACCACUUUUUCACCGCUCAUUUCUUAUCUUAUAGUUUUGUAGGUCAGAAGUCCUAUGAGGGUCUCUUUAGGUUAAAAUUAAGUAUCAAAGGACUGCAUUCCUUUUUGGAGGAUUUAGGAAAUGUUGUUUGCUUGCCCUUAGCAGUUUCCGUCUACCCGUUCAUUGCAGCUGAGAAAGAAUCUUUGGUUAUUUAUUUAUUAUUUUUCUUGUGGUGCUGGGGAUUGAACCCAGAGCCUUGUGCAUGCGAGGCAAGCACUCUAUCAAUUGAGCUAUAUCCCCAGCCCAGAAUCUUUGAUUUUAAGAGCUCACCUGAAUCCAAAAUAAUCCCACUUCCAGAUCUCUACCCUUAACCACAUCAGCAAAGUCCCUUUGCUAUGUAAGAUCGUAUAUUUAUGGGUUCCAUAUAUUUUUGCAGGGGAUCAUUAUUUGGGCUGCUGGUAGGGCCUCAGGAAAACUAUUUUGACUACUCAUUCUGCAAAUAGACUUCUGUUUGACAGUUAUUAAAAAUUAGCAUGUUUUAAUAAAAUGUUUCAACAAUACUUGUUGCUUUCCAGCAGAUAAACGCUUUAAGUGAUUAAACACUAAAUCACCCAUGCUGACCAACUCGACCACUCUGUGCUUCACUGCCCUGCUCCUAACAAUGAAGCUAAUAAUGAAAAUGAAGUCAAAAUGAUACUUGUAAGAAAUAAAAUGAAGAAGUAAA
RNAcentral lists this long non-coding RNA (816 nucleotides) under Marmota monax (woodchuck). The record is from RNAcentral. Lineage: Eukaryota; Metazoa; Chordata; Mammalia; Rodentia; Sciuridae.